UGGAGGAAUAUGGAACAGAGAAAGGUUUAGUGCAAGGCCAUGCCAAGAGAUGGGUGGCUCAUGCCUUAAAACACCCAAACUGCCUGAAAGCUUUCAGUGAAGCCUUUUUUUUAGGAAAGGUGAAGGAGGGCGUGGUUAGUUGUUAGAAACAUCUUGGGGUCACAUCCUUUCUUUUCCAGGUCCGGUCAUGGACAGGUAAAGAUGUUCCUGUAAAUCUCUACCACAGAAAUGUCAUGCUCUGUCUUAACGAGGAAGAGCAAGGUCCCUAGGUACAACUUUUCCCCUCUGAGGUCCCAGUCCUGGCUAAAAGGAGGCAGCUCUCUGUUGGCGGCUCCCGCAGGGCCAGGUCCCCAGACCCUGCCCAGCUGUCUUGCCGAGGGAGCCAGGCACCCGGGACCCAACUGUCCCUCAGGCUCCUCAGGCUGCCCAGACGCACCAUGGGAAGGGCAGGUCCCACAGGCUGCAUCCUAUGCAGACUGCCACUGUCAUCAGGUCACAGAGGUGGGGCCCGGGGAGAGGUUCAGAGCCUUGCUGAGGGGUCUGGAGCCCUGCAGGACAGUCCCCAGCCUGCUCCCUGGGAGCACCACUCACCCGCUGACCUAGGGCCGGGCAUCCCCACUGAAUAAAGUUGGCUUGAGUGAUCAAGAGAAUGUCAUGGGGAUGACUGAGUGGGACUUCCAAGGCUCAUGAAAGAAACUGUGGCCUGUGAUUGAUCUCUUCUGGAUCAUCAUUCACUUUGAAGGAAGCUACUGCCACAUCAUGAAGACACCUGCGAGGUCCUAGGAGAGGCACAUGUGGUGGGGAACAGAGACCUCUUACCGACAUCCAGCAACACUCUCACCAAUACUUGGUAGCCACGCUGGAAAGCCUUCUUGAGAGAUCUUCCAGUCCAGCUCUGCCGCUCUGGCUGACAUCUUGACUGCAACCCCUUGAGAGAUCCCAAGCCAGGAUCAUUCGGCUAAGUUCUUCCCAAAUCCCUCAACCAUGGAAACUGUGUGAGGACCCUGGAAUUUUCCAAAAGACAGAAUGAUGAACAACACAUCUUUAUACCUGCCAUCAUACAGAGCCAGCCAUCUUGCUGAGAGAAGACCUCAACCUGGGCCGCUGUGCAUGGUCUGGAAGCUGUAGCAUUCCUGUUUAGUGGAUCACGUUCCCUGCAUGGCAGCCUCUCUUCCACUGAACUGACAUUCCGCCCCCAAUGUCAUCUGUGAUAUCAGCAUCUGUAGCAGCUGCUGCUUCUUCCGGCUGAGAAAUCUCAAUGUUUGCCUUGAAAAUGUCAACCCUUCACCUCUCUCAACAUUCAGACUCACUCAUCAGUUCAUUUCCAGCUGCCCUUAAAAGUAUUCAGAAUAAAUGAUGCACAAAGGACAGUUUAAACACAGCAAAGCAGUUGUAGGCAAGUCAUCUCCAGUUCAGCAGCCUGGUCUUCCUUAACCACAAGUAUCACAUUUUCAUUUAAAUGCAUUUCUGGCACAGGAGCCCUUGGCUAUGUAUCUGCUUUGGCAAUUGGAGAACACUUGGCAGCUACCAAGCACAAUGGGGAGAAACAUCCCGAAAAAGAGUGGGUGAAGAGGGCAUUCAGUGGUAGGUUAUCCUGAAUUGUCUUUCCUUUGUUUUUCAUCCAUACUGCUCCAUCGUCAAGUUGGAAUUUACCUUGGAAAAAGCUAGUAAUUUGUUUCUUCCCUGCUGACAGAAAUUUCAUUGUUGAUCUCCAGGGCAUCCUUGUGCCAUGACCACAUUAGGUCUUACUCAAGGUUCUCAAGUUUAUAUUUUAAUAUUGAAAGUUAGAAUAUGAUAGGACCAAUGGAAGAGUUUAUCAUAAAAAAGAAACGGAAAGAUACAUCCAUCUGAAUGCAGAGUUCCAAAGAAUAGCAAGGAAAGAAAAGAAACACUUCCUAAGGGAUCAAUGCAAAGAAAUAGAGGAAAACAACAGUAUGUGAAGGAGUAGAGAUCUUUACAAGGAAAUUAGAGACACCCAGGGAACACUUCAUGCAAAGAUGGGCACAAUAAAGGACAAA
Odocoileus virginianus texanus is the source of this 2018-nucleotide non-coding RNA. NCBI's taxonomy places the organism in Eukaryota, Metazoa, Chordata, Mammalia, Artiodactyla, Cervidae. The record is from RefSeq and is a predicted model, not a curated record.